UACAGAGGGGGCAAGCGUUGUUCGGAAUUACUGGGCGUAAAGGGCGCGUAGGCGGCCUUCUAAGUCGAACGUGAAAUCCCUGGGCUCAACCCAGGAACUGCGUCCGAUACUGGGAGGCUUGAAUCCGGGAGAGGGAUGCGGAAUUCCAGGUGUAGCGGUGAAAUGCGUAGAUAUCUGGAGGAACACCGGUGGCGAAGGCGGCAUCCUGGACCGGUAUUGACGCUGAGGCGCGAAGGCCAGGGGAGCAAACGGG
RNAcentral lists this ribosomal RNA (253 nucleotides) under uncultured bacterium. Its description in RNAcentral is "partial 16S ribosomal RNA". It matches the Rfam family "Bacterial small subunit ribosomal RNA", at positions 524 to 776 of the family's 1533-position model. The record is from RNAcentral.